Thalassophryne amazonica is the source of this 507-nucleotide long non-coding RNA. RefSeq lists it as uncharacterized. The record is from RefSeq and is a predicted model, not a curated record. The transcript has 3 exons. Lineage: Eukaryota; Metazoa; Chordata; Actinopteri; Batrachoidiformes; Batrachoididae.
CCAAGAGCAGCAAGCAGCAGAGGCACAGGCAAGCACAAGCAAAGCACAUACCACACUCUAAGCAAUCAGGUAAGCUGUUUGACACUACACCUUACAUUGCUACAUUCAGGUAUUCUUACAGAGGGUGAAAAAUUACAUUAUUUGUUUUUAUUCCACAUAAGCAAACAAACAGAACUUAACUAGUUAUUCUCCUUUUACCUGUGCCCACUACUGCCCCCAGGUGUCCACAACUAAAAACUGUUGGAAAUAAACCAAAAUAAUAAAGACCUGCUAUUAUGUAAAGCAAUUAACUAAACAAAUAACUAGCAAAAGUGUCAUUUUUACUAAUUAGAGCAAUAAAAUUUCAGCGUAGAAGGGCGAUUUUUGUCUUGAGUUGGAUGUGCGAAGGGCGCCGUUGCUUACAAACAAAAAGGUCGAUCCGAUGGUCAAAAUGUCCAGGAUUUUUGUCAGACACAGGUGGCAACCCUAGCUCAAUCAAAUCAUCAUGUCCAAAACACCCAGUGGAAU